RNAcentral lists this ribosomal RNA (433 nucleotides) under uncultured bacterium. RNAcentral describes it as "partial 16S ribosomal RNA". It matches the Rfam family "Bacterial small subunit ribosomal RNA", at positions 29 to 507 of the family's 1533-position model. The record is from RNAcentral.
AACGAACGCUGGCGGCAUGCCUAACACAUGCAAGUCGAACGAGACCUUCGGGUCUAGUGGCGCACGGGUGCGUAACGCGUGGGAACCUGCCCUUAGGUUCGGAAUAACUCCCCGAAAGGGGUGCUAAUACCGGAUAAUGUCUUCGGACCAAAGAUUUAUCGCCUUUGGAUGGGCCCGCGUUGGAUUAGCUAGUUGGUAGGGUAAAAGCCUACCAAGGCGACGAUCCAUACCUGGUCUGAGAGGAUGAUCAGCCACACUGGGACUGAGACACGGCCCAGACUCCUACGGGAGGCAGCAGUGGGGAAUAGUGGAAAAUGGGCGAAAGGCUGAUCGAGCAAUGACGCGUGAGUGAUGAAGGCCUUAGGGUUGUAAAGCUCUUUUACCCGGGAUGAUAAUGACAGUACCGGGAGAAUAAGCUCCGGCUAACUACGUG